RNAcentral lists this long non-coding RNA (1048 nucleotides) under Capra hircus (goat). RNAcentral's name for it is "lncRNA (ENSCHIG00010007791.1)". The record is from RNAcentral. Lineage: Eukaryota; Metazoa; Chordata; Mammalia; Artiodactyla; Bovidae.
GUCACUAUAGUUUUCUCUGGUUAAGAUCAAUGGCUAAACAGUGUCUUCUGAAAACCAAACUUGAAUUAAUCAAACUUUCAGUAAAAAUUAGGUACAAAUAACAAAUGAAACAGUAAGAAAAGGUAUUAUCUUGUUAAUGUAUUGGUACAAAUACAAAUGAAACAUAGUAAGAAAAAGUGUUUCCCUGUUUUGCUGAGUUUGAGUUUCUUAAAAGAUAGUAGAUAAUACUUCACUUUUACAUAUUCAGAGCUAUGUAAGGCAGCAGUCUUUAGCUUAUAAAUAUUAUUCAGUGGCCCACACUCCCAAUUUCUGUUCUUGGCCUUUGCAGUUUACCUUAGUACCUACCUCUCUCAGUUACUGGCUUAUGGUUAGUAUUAGAUGAUUUUAAGACUCUUGGAUAAAAGAUAAGUACAUAUUGUUGAACCCUUAUACUGCUAUCAAGUCCUUCUCAUGCUGUUUAAUCAGAACAGUGUUGGUCUCCAGAAAGAGCCAAAGAAAGUGUUUACAAAGUAUUUUGGCUGUUGUAUUGACCUAGAUUAGAACAAUUGCUGUCUGUCAUUACUUGCUUGUUGCUGUGCUGCUAAGCAGUGUAACUGAAGGACUACCCAAGGUCUCUAUGCUUUCUAUCUCUUCUACCUUACUCAGUUUUUUUGAGAUGGUAGAGUGUUAUAAUCAAGUAAUUUGCUUCUCCUAGAGAUAAAGUAAAUGGUUUUAUAAUGAGUGUUCAGAGAAAAGUUAAAAGUUAGGAAGCAAGCAUUAUCCAGUGGUUUUAAAAACAUCUUUUGGCAGUAAUUUCAAAGGUAAUUGACAUACGUUAUUUACAUGAAUCUUGAGGUGCAAGAAUUUGGAUAUAAAUAUCUGUACUCACUUUGAAUUAUUAAUAUCAGCACUGAAUUUUAAGGGCCACUGAGGAUUUAAAUCCUAAUGCCCCUAAACAUACUUAGUGUGUGUCUUGUCCUAACCUUAAAAAUGGUUGUGUGGCUUCAAAGCUAUAUAUUUAGACUUUGAAAUAAUUUUCUCAAACUUAGACCAUUUCUGGAGAAGGCAA